Anopheles darlingi is the source of this 82-nucleotide small nucleolar RNA. It matches the Rfam family "Small nucleolar RNA Me28S-Gm3255". From Rfam's summary of the family: Me28S-Gm3255 is a member of the C/D class of snoRNA which contain the C (UGAUGA) and D (CUGA) box motifs. This family directs 2'-O-methylation of 28S G-3255. The record is from Rfam. Lineage: Eukaryota; Metazoa; Arthropoda; Insecta; Diptera; Culicidae.
GACCAACUAAAGCAUUUACAAUUUCUGACAUCUCUUAUGAAUUGUUCUUUGAUUCAAAUCGCUUUUUCAAUUAACUGAAAAC